CCACAAGGGGUGAAGCCUGCGGUUCAAUUGGAGUCAACGCCAGGAAACUUACCAGGAGAGACAGCAGGUUGAGGGUCAGUCUGAAGAACUUACCUGACGAGCUGAGAGGAGGUGCAUGGCCGUCGCCAGCUCGUGCCGUGAGGCGUCCUGUUAAGUCAGGCAACGAGCGAGACCCCUAUCAGUAAUUGCUAACUGCCCAGAGAUGGGUAGAGGCUAGUUACAGAGACUGCCGUUGAUAAAACGGAGGAAGGAAGGGGCCACGGCAGGUCAGUAUGCCCCGAAACUCCUGGGCCACACGCGGGCUGCAAUGGUAGGGACAAUAGGUUCCGACCUCGAAAGAGGAAGGCAAUCCCCAAACCCUACCCCAGUUGUGAUCGAGGAUUGAAACCCGUCCUCGUGAAUAUGGAAUCCCUAGUAACCGCGUGUCAUCACCGCGCGGUGAAUACGUCCCUGCUCCUUGC
This 461-nucleotide ribosomal RNA is filed under the name uncultured archaeon. RNAcentral describes it as "bacterial SSU rRNA". It matches the Rfam family "Archaeal small subunit ribosomal RNA", at positions 879 to 1340 of the family's 1478-position model. The record is from RNAcentral.